UACGUAGGGUGCAAGCGUUAAUCGGAAUUACUGGGCGUAAAGCGUGCGCAGGCGGCUUUGCAAGUCUGUCGUGAAAGCCCCGGGCUUAACCUGGGAAUUGCGAUGGAGACUGCAAGGCUUGAAUCUGGCAGAGGGGGGUAGAAUUCCACGUGUAGCAGUGAAAUGCGUAGAGAUGUGGAGGAACACCGAUGGCGAAGGCAGCCCCCUGGGUCAAGAUUGACGCUCAUGCACGAAAGCGUGGGGAGCAAACAGG
Molecule: ribosomal RNA, 253 nt
Filed under: uncultured bacterium
Lineage: Bacteria
Description: partial 16S ribosomal RNA
Rfam family: Bacterial small subunit ribosomal RNA
Source: RNAcentral